ACACUUAAAACGAACAUGAAUCCCAUUUUGCUCCUAAGCACAACUUGCCCAGUACCUUCACCCACACACACCACUCACACGAUAACAACUACCACGACAGACUGCCAAAGACCGUCUUCCACAACCGACAGACCACCAGGGUAAUUCAAACUCAUGAUUGUGACAAAUAGCUUGGUGAAAGUGAUGCACAUAACCUGUUCGAUAAAUUGUCUGAUAGAGAAAUUUAUUUGUCGGUGAAAUCUAACUAAAAUCUGAGUAACCGUGUGACAUUAAGAGAUGCAUAGAAGUCAACUUUGGUGUGUGGUCCGGAUACGAGAGGGAGUUUUGUCAGAAUUUGGUUUAAAAUGGCAUAAUGAUCUAAGCAAUUAGAAGACAAGGCAACCCCCAACAUCUUUCUUACUCGGUUGCAAAUUCUCAGUUUGAAGCGUGCGAGGCUAAAUUGAAACUAGCAAAGAAAUCGAGAAAUGGGCGCUAUAGUUGCAUUGAGGACAAGACAACAUUUUAACUUGGGGGAGGAGCUUAAAUUAUGAUGAUAUAUAGUUUGUCUUUGUGGAGUGAUGUAUUUGGAUUUGGUAGAUUGACUUUAUUUUGGCAGUUUUAUUUCUUUCUAUUACAUAUUUAUAUUAGUAUGAUUUUUUUUUUUAAUUAUUAGCUUCUUUAGUUUUUGUUAGGAAUAAAAGUGGUGUUGGAUGUGAUUUUUGUCCCUUGAUAAAUUUUGGCUUGCUUGGUAGAAACACAAUUUAAACCUUGGCAUAUGAAUUAUAGGUUUUUGAAAGGAUUCUUGUGGUGUAACGACCUGCUUGGUUGUUAUAGUCUUUUCGACACUUUUGACACACUUUUGACCCUUCCCCGAGCUUGGUUAGCUCACUUUUGACCUGAGGGGACCGUUGACAUGCUUUCCGAGGUGUUCGGGGUUGAUUUUGGUGACUUUUUGAGAAAAAUUGGCUUUAAGCAAAAAAGAGUUGACUCAAAGUUGACUUUUGGGUAAACAGACCUUUUUCGGAAAUCCGUCGAUUCUGAGAGGUCCGGAUGGUCAUUUAGAACUUGUGUGCAGAUUUGGUUCGGUUCCCAUUGCACUUAGGUGCAUUUUGUGACUUGGGUUGGGAAGUGGAAUUGAGGUAUUGGGGGUUGACUCAGUCAACGAUACCUCUGUUGGGAAUUCUAAGGCCACGGGUGCGUUCGUAGCGUGUUUUUAUAUGGGUCUGUGUAUGUGGGUUGUGAGCAGAUGGCCUUGGAAGUUAGUCGGAAAUUCGGGUUGAGUUGUCAAAUGGGAAUAGUUUCCUGGUGUUUGGUACCUGCUUUGGCGGCACCGCUAGAGUGGUAAUAUUGUCGCGGAAGUGGGUGACGGGCAGUUAGUUCAUUAAAUAAAGUGUUAAUGCCUUAAGUCCCUCAUUUAUUACCAUUCCGAAAAUUAAGCUCUUGGGAACAAUACUAGAGGAU
Lycium ferocissimum is the source of this 1440-nucleotide long non-coding RNA. RefSeq lists it as uncharacterized. The record is from RefSeq and is a predicted model, not a curated record. Lineage: Eukaryota; Viridiplantae; Streptophyta; Magnoliopsida; Solanales; Solanaceae. The transcript is spliced from 4 exons.